Molecule: ribosomal RNA, 466 nt
Filed under: uncultured bacterium
Lineage: Bacteria
Description: partial 16S ribosomal RNA
Rfam family: Bacterial small subunit ribosomal RNA
Source: RNAcentral
ACGAACGCUGGCGGCGUGCUUAACACAUGCAAGUCGACGGAAAGGCCCUGCUUUUGUGGGGUGCUCGAGUGGCGAACGGGUGAGUAACACGUGAGUAACCUGCCCUUGACUUUGGGAUAACUUCAGGAAACCUGGGCUAAUACCGGAUAGGAGCUCCUGCUGCCUGGUGGGGGUUGGAAAGGUUCGGCGGUUGGGGAUGGACUCGCGGCUUAUCAGCUUGUUGGUGGGGUAGUGGCUUACCAAGGCUUUGACGGGUAGCCGGCCUGAGAGGGUGACCGGCCACAUUGGGACUGAGAUACGGCCCAGACUCCUACGGGAGGCAGCAGUGGGGAAUAUUGCACAAUGGGCGGAAGCCUGAUGCAGCAACGCCGCGUGCGGGAUGACGGCCUUCGGGUUGUAAACCGCUUUCGCCUGUGACGAAGCGUGAGUGACGGUAAUGGGUAAAGAAGCACCGGCUAACUACGUG